This 400-nucleotide unclassified non-coding RNA is filed under the name soil metagenome. RNAcentral's name for it is "partial contains 5.8S ribosomal RNA, internal transcribed spacer 2, and large subunit ribosomal RNA". The stretch from base 1 to 122 matches the Rfam family "5.8S ribosomal RNA", at positions 35 to 154 of the family's 154-position model. The record is from RNAcentral.
GAUGAAGAAUGCAGCGAAAUGCGAUACUUGGUGUGAAUUGCAGAAUCCCGUGAACCAUCGAGUCUUUGAACGCAAGUUGCGCCUCAAGCCAUUAGGUUGAGGGCACGUCUGCCUGGGCGUCACAUAUCGUUGCCUGAUGCCAGUUUCCUCGUGAUGGGUGACUGUGCAGGGCGAAUGAUGGCUUCCCGUGAGCAUUGUUGCCUCAUGGUUGGUUGAAAAUUGAGUCCUUGGUAGGGAGCGCCGUGAUAGAUGGUGGUUGAGUGACGAACGAGACCCAAUCAUGUGAGACCCCUACCGAAUUUGGCCUUCAUGACCCACAUGCGUCUUUGGAACGCUCAUGACGAGACCUCAGGUCAGGCGGGGCUACCCGCUGAGUUUAAGCAUAUCAAUAAGCGGAGGA